Parelaphostrongylus tenuis is the source of this 73-nucleotide non-coding RNA. The record is from the annotation of a GenBank genome assembly. Lineage: Eukaryota; Metazoa; Nematoda; Chromadorea; Rhabditida; Metastrongylidae.
AUGUCGGUAGUACAACGGUUGAGCACGCGCCUCUGGGUAGGGUGAAAUGUGGGUUUGAAUCCCAGCUGACGCA